CCCUGGAAUCCCCGCCAGUCUGACAGAAGAGCGAGCGAAGUUGUAUUAUGGCGAGCAACAGGUCGUUUACUGGGAAGAAGAUUUGGUGUUGAUAGAGGAGGCAACAUCUUCAAGGCAAAACCUUAGACCUCAUUCAACAUCAUCCAAUGUUGCAAUCCCCCUCAGGAGUGAGGAGGAUGUGAUUCGUCAUGCAGCAGCACAGAUAAACACCAGAAAGACAUCUGAAAUCUAUCACGAGAUAACACGUCUGAAGUUGUGGAAACGUCAAAAACAGGAAGCCCUGUAUGUCCCUUGAAAAUCACCUUCCUUGGAGAGCCUGUAAAAAUAAAUAAAUAAAAUUAUUUGUAUAUAAAGCUAAAAACAAUAAAGCAAA
This is a long non-coding RNA of Sinocyclocheilus anshuiensis, 373 nucleotides long. RefSeq lists it as uncharacterized. NCBI's taxonomy places the organism in Eukaryota, Metazoa, Chordata, Actinopteri, Cypriniformes, Cyprinidae. The record is from RefSeq and is a predicted model, not a curated record. The transcript is spliced from 3 exons.